CAAUAGCGUAUAUUAAAGUUGUUGCAGUUAAAAAGCUCGUAGUUGGAUUUCGGGUGGGACGCAGCGGUCUCGCAUUGCGUUUGUACUGCUGCAGCCCUCCUUCUUGCCGGGGGCGGCCUCUCGGACUUCACUGUCUGGGGGUCAGAAUCGGCGAUGUUACUUUGAGUAAAUUAGAGUGUUCAAAGCAAGCUUACGCUCUGAAUAUAAUAGCAUGGGAUAACACGACAGGACUCUGGCCUAUCGUGUUGGUCUAUAGGACCAGAGUAAUGAUUAAGAGGGACAGUCGGGGACAUUCGUAUUUCAUUGUCAGAGGUGAAAUUCUUGGAUUUAUGAAAGACGAACUUCUGCGAAAGCAUUUGUCAAGGAUGUUUUCAUUAA
This 378-nucleotide ribosomal RNA is filed under the name uncultured eukaryote. RNAcentral's name for it is "partial 18S ribosomal RNA". It matches the Rfam family "Eukaryotic small subunit ribosomal RNA", at positions 592 to 976 of the family's 1831-position model. The record is from RNAcentral.